RNAcentral lists this ribosomal RNA (818 nucleotides) under uncultured Streptococcaceae bacterium. RNAcentral's name for it is "bacterial SSU rRNA". It matches the Rfam family "Bacterial small subunit ribosomal RNA", at positions 56 to 848 of the family's 1533-position model. The record is from RNAcentral. Lineage: Bacteria; Bacillati; Bacillota; Bacilli; Lactobacillales; Streptococcaceae.
UGCAAGUAGGACGCACAGUUUAUACCGUAGCUUGCUACACCAUAGACUGUGAGUUGCGAACGGGUGAGUAACGCGUAGGUAACCUGCCUAUUAGAGGGGGAUAACUAUUGGAAACGAUAGCUAAUACCGCAUAACAGUAUGUAACACAUGUUAGAUGUUUGAAAGAUGCAAUUGCAUCGCUAGUAGAUGGACCUGCGUUGUAUUAGCUAGUAGGUAGGGUAAAGGCCUACCUAGGCAACGAUACAUAGCCGACCUGAGAGGGUGAUCGGCCACACUGGGACUGAGACACGGCCCAGACUCCUACGGGAGGCAGCAGUAGGGAAUCUUCGGCAAUGGGGGGAACCCUGACCGAGCAACGCCGCGUGAGUGAAGAAGGUUUUCGGAUCGUAAAGCUCUGUUGUUAAGGAAGAACGAGUGUGAGAAUGGAAAGUUCAUACUGUGACGGUACUUAACCAGAAAGGGACGGCUAACUACGUGCCAGCAGCCGCGGUAAUACGUAGGUCCCGAGCGUUGUCCGGAUUUAUUGGGCGUAAAGCGAGCGCAGGCGGUUAGAAAAGUCUGAAGUGAAAGGCAGUGGCUCAACCAUUGUAGGCUUUGGAAACUGUUUAACUUGAGUGCAGAAGGGGAGAGUGGAAUUCCAUGUGUAGCGGUGAAAUGCCUAGAUAUAUGGAGGAACACCGGUGGCGAAAGCGGCUCUCUGGUCUGUAACUGACGCUGAGGCUCGAAAGCGUGGGGAGCGAACAGGAUUAGAUACCCUGGUAGUCCACGCCGUAAACGAUGAGUGCUAGGUGUUAGGUCCUUUCCGGGACUUAGUGCCG